GGAGGGGUGCGCCGAAUGGUAAGGCACUAGUCUUGAAAACUAGCGGGAGCAAUCCCUUGCAGGUUCGAGUCCUGUCCCCUCCGCCA
RNAcentral lists this transfer RNA (86 nucleotides) under Candidatus Kaiserbacteria bacterium RIFCSPHIGHO2_02_FULL_49_11. Its description in RNAcentral is "tRNA-Ser". It matches the Rfam family "tRNA". From Rfam's summary of the family: Transfer RNA (tRNA) molecules are approximately 80 nucleotides in length. Lineage: Bacteria; Candidatus Kaiseribacteriota. The record is from RNAcentral.